GACCGCGUAGCUCAGUUGGAAGAGCAUUGGGCUAGUAUUCCAAAGGUCGUAGGUUCGAUUCCCACCGUGGCCG
Non-coding RNA from Paramuricea clavata, 73 nucleotides. The record is from the annotation of a GenBank genome assembly. NCBI's taxonomy places the organism in Eukaryota, Metazoa, Cnidaria, Anthozoa, Malacalcyonacea, Plexauridae.